Long non-coding RNA from Lotus japonicus, 709 nucleotides. RefSeq lists it as uncharacterized. The record is from RefSeq and is a predicted model, not a curated record. The transcript is spliced from 3 exons. Lineage: Eukaryota; Viridiplantae; Streptophyta; Magnoliopsida; Fabales; Fabaceae.
UACUUUACUUUACUUGCUUUAACACUUGGUUUGGUUCUGUUUUGUUUUAUGUGAACUCAACACUCAACUUCCCUUUCUUUAUGGAGGUGAAAGUUGGCUGCUGCUAUCAAGUGUCAUUAUUCAAGCUAAUAAAGAUUGGGAAUUGGUUGGUGGCCAUGGAAAAGUCAUGAGGGUGUUGCAGAUUUUGUAAGCAGUAAGGAGUUCGUCGCAGGAGGGGGUCUUCUACCUUAUCCAAGUCUUCUUUAUAAGUAUACUAAUGUGGAAAUGAGCUCCCCUUCAUGCUGGGAAUUGGAUUGACUAAUGUGAAUAUGUUAGGAACCUAAUUAUGAGUUACCAUGGAAGAAUGAGAAAUAGAACAUUCAAAAUCCUUACAUGAAGGGAUAAAGUUUAAACCUCAAAGAAGAUAGUAAUUAUGAAUGGGCUCCAGGUAUGUAGGUUCAUCCAUUUGCAUUAUUAUUGCAAGUUAUGAACUUUGAUUUUGGUGGGGACAAUUGCAAGUUAUUGACUCCAAAAAGGACCACUCCUACUGGGCUCACGGGUAGAGCGUGCCGCAGAAUGUUUGUGUAAGGAGGAGCCGAAUCACAUAAAUGAGUUGUUGUUUGCUAUAACUAAUUUUAUAAUGCAUAGUUUACAUAAUUGAGAUUGGAUUAGGCUCUCUAAAUUGAGAGAGGUAAAGUUAGUUUCCAUAAUCGUUGAGAUUUAAAGAUCA